This 1026-nucleotide long non-coding RNA is filed under the name Homo sapiens (human). RNAcentral's name for it is "HSALNT0323486". Lineage: Eukaryota; Metazoa; Chordata; Mammalia; Primates; Hominidae. The record is from RNAcentral.
UUUUUUUUUUUUUUUUUUUUUUCAGUACCGGGAAAACAGGAGCGUGUGAUUGGGGUUUACAGUGUUUUCUCUCGCUCUCUCUGUUUCUAGGGAAUUCGGGCUGUGUUUAGCUGCUGGAAUAUCGUAGAAUUGGUUUUCAGAGAAGUUCCUCGACUCCUGAGGCGAAACAUAAAGGGAUGGGAGUGGUGUGGGAAGUGAUCGUGUGGGGAAAAAAAAGUUUCGAGCCCGUUUCGCAUUUGUGGAGACAGAGUUUUUGGUGUGACCACUCUUUUGUGGGAAACCCAAACCAAGGAGAACUCAGGAGAAUUGGCGCUCUUCGGUCCUGGAGGUUCCGCAGCUAACAUCCCGGCUUGACCAACUAUCGAGGCCGCAAAUUAAUAGGGCACCUCCUGGGAGGAAAACGCCCAUCCUGACUUCUCAACUGUGACAGUUUGCUCUGUCGCCCAGGAUGGAGUGCAGUGCAGUGGCGCGAUCCUGCAACCUCCGCCUCUCGAGUUCAAGCGAUUCUCCUGCCUCAGCCUCCCGAGUAGCUGGGAUUACAGACGCGCGCCACCCCACCCAGAUGAUCUUUUUAAAUGCAAAAUGCCAUCGACGCAGAAAAUCAAAGAAUCAGCUUAAGUUCCAGAAAAAAGAAAAACCAACCAAAUGAACAAUAAGACAACAACAACAACAACAAAAAAGGCCUUUUGGGAUUUUGGAUGAUAUUGCAUCAAAUCCAUACAUUAACCUGAGAGACGAGCGACUUCUUCAACAUUGAGCCUUCCAAUCAUGAUUUUCAAUUCAUUUAGGUCUUCUGUAAUGUUUCUUAAUAUAAUUGUAUUUGUUGCUAUGCAGAAGUUUCACUGAUCUUUUAUUAUAUCUCUAUAUAUAUUUGAUAUUUCUGACACUAUUGUAAAUAGUAUCUUUUUAAUAUUUCAUUUUCCUUUUUUGUUGCUUAAAUAUAUAUAAAAUAAGCUAAUUUUCCAAACUAAUUUUUAUAUCCAGCAACCCUGCUAAAAUUUCUUAUCCAAUAAAAAUAUAAAUGUA